UUCUUUUGAAUUUUGAAUUUUGAAUGUGUAUCUCCUUGAGAUUUGGCUUCUUGAAUAAGCUGAAUUUUGAAUUUUGAAUGCUCUUGAAGAUUUGAAAUUUGAAUUUCAAAUUACUUUCCUUAUCUAUCUCCUCUUAAGUUGCAACUUGGCAUGCUUAUUCUCCUUUAUUCCAUUUUAGGCAAUUUUAAGGGCACUCUCUCCAAAUUACCUCUUUACACCAUUUUCUGCAAAACAAGAUCAAAACCACAAAAUUAGGCAGAAAAAGUGUAAAUUAACAUUAAUAACAUCAUGAUAAAAUGGUCUAAAUUUGGACUGAUCAAAUACCCCCACACCUAGCCUUUUGCUUGUCCUCAAGCAAAUAAAUUUAGUCAAACAAGCUCUCUUUGCUGCUUGAUCCUUUAUUUCCACUUAAGCUCUUACUCUAGACCCCUACUUUGAAGCAUUGCAGUGAAGAAUGUAUGCACAAAGGUUACUCUCCUUCUUUCCUUGUCUCCCUUUACCUACCAUGGCUAGUAUUUGUUUUCCUCAAGAGAGAGAUUAUACAUGCACAUAUUCUUGUUCAGUUAAGUCUUUUCCUAGCUUUUGGAGUGACUUGCCCUUACUUGAAGCACUUUAUUCAGCUUUUUGCACUUUAAUCUUGCUUGAAAAAGUUACCAACUUUUUGACGUGAAGGUACAUAUUUGUGAUACCCACCCCCAGUUACUCAGUUAGUCACCUGUCCAAGUGGCUACUAGCUCUGUUCAUAGUCUUUUGACCAUUGGAACAGUUUUUCAUUUGUGUUUUUGAAGUCUUUGCCUUUGCUGAAUUUCUUUCCCAAUGAAUUGGGCAAAUCAACACCAAUUGCUAAAAUAAGCCAUGUUCAGUUACUCACACAUCUUUCAAUUUAUUCUCUCUAAUGAGUAGUAUAUAUUUUUCACUAUGACAAGCUCAAAGAUUCAAUUGAAAAGGAAAUUCUCAAAAAUGAAUACAACUCACUGCAAUUGAUUUAACUUAGGUUUAAAGAGUCAUCACAUCAAUGGGGUCAUGGAAAAAAAGCUCAUUCAACAUAGCCUAUGAGUUUGAGUAAAGCAUAUCAAAACAGAAAAAGAAAAAAAAAACUGUGGCUACAUGUGUGUGCAUUAAAGGCAAAAAUAACAAAAAUGAAAAAUGUGUACAAACUAAAAAAUUAAAGCUAAAAAUGGACUUAAAAUAAAAGUUCAGAGAUAUGCACCCCACACCUAAUUCAUGCAUUGUCCUUAAUAUAUUGGUGAUAGCGGUUGUCGAAACCGUAAAAAAUAAAUCUAUUAUCAACCAACAAAAUAAUUUUGCAGAUAGUGGCAAUAGAGUCGAACCACAGGGAUUUGACACUAUGAAUUUUCCUAUUAAUGACUUGGACAAGUAAAUAAUAAAUAAUUAAAAGAAGGGGUUUUGAUUGGAUGAGUUAAUAUUAAAGAGAAAGCAAUAAUUUAAAAGGAUAAGAAUUUCAAUGGGAAAAGGAUUCUAGUUGAAGCAUGGAUGAAUUCCAGGUUGUUUAGAAUUGAUCAUUGACUUUUUGUUACUCUUAUUUAUUUCAAUAAGUUAAUUUAGGACGUGGAAGACGCUUCUCACAAUCCAAAUUCCUCCUUAGUUUUAGUUUGAUUAGGAAACGUUCGCUAAUCAAACUCUAGUUAACAAGUUGCCAAGGAACGUCCUUGGGGCUUUUAGCAUCGAACAACUGUUAACUGCAUUAGGACUUAGAAAAACCCAACUCUAACCUUGCCAACCACGUGGUCAAGUUAGAUUAUGUAACUGAUUAUACUUGUGAUUAAAUAACUUAAGCAAUUACGGAUCUAAAUUAUUUAAACAAUAUAUUACUCAAGCAAUUAAAAGCAACAGGCCUUAAUUGAUUCUAAAAGCAAAGCAAUAAUUAUAGAAAGAUCAAGUUGCAUAAAUAUUGAAAAUAAACAAGAGUUUGACAUGGAGUAUUAAAUCUCCCUAUUCAUCACAAAUAUGGAAUUUCCAACUUCAACUAGAAAAGAGUUGGUUAGCCACUUAUGGUGAACAAAAUCACAAAAAGAAGAAAGAAAGAAGAGAAGAGAGAGGCUGCUGUGUUUUCUGCAGAAUUCCCCGAAGGUGCUGAGUAAAGAGGAUGAUCUGUUGGGUUGGAAGUUGUCCCUUUUAUAGCUAGAGAAUUUUAAUCCAACUAGGGUUUGGAAAUCCCCAUCUUGACUUAGUCUUUUGUGGUCUUUGAUUUCUCUUAGGAUCUUGUAUUUAAUUGUGAAUGGAUUUCCUCAAGUGAAAAGACCUCCUCGUGGCUUAAGGGACUGAUCUUGGAGUGUUUGAAAUGGAUUUGGACUUCUUUGCUUUUGAAUUUCAGUUUUCUGCACUUUUCCCGCUUCUACUGUUUCUCUGCGUCAAUGUGAUUUGGGCGGGUGAUUUGGGCAGAUCACUUGCCCAAAUCGUUUUUGUGUGUUGCCUCCAGAUUUCUGCCUUAGCUUUCUGCUUCUGAUUUCUGCGGGUGAUUUGGCCAAAUCACUUUGACCCAAUCACUUUUCCAGCUUUUUCUACACUUUUUCUCAAACUUUCCAUUUUCUUCUUUUUCUACAAAAACAUAACAAAAACAUAAAUUAAGAUAGAAAAAUGAGUAAUUAAACAGUAAUAAAUAUAAUAAAAAUGUGGCUAAAUUAAGCUUGAUCAAAUACCCCCACACCUAGCUUUUUGCUUGUCCUCAAGUAAAAAAUAACUUAGUCAAUUAAGCUCUUUUUUCUUUUGAGCCUAAGUACCACUUAAUCAGCCCCCUCUAGACUCCCAAAUUGAAGUAUCACAGUAUAGAGUACAUGCACUAAGGUUGUUCUCUCUUUUCCUUGUUUCCUUUCACCUACUAUGGUCAUGAGAAAGGUUUUUGGUUCCAUCAUGCUUAUUCUUUUGUUUUAAGCUUGAAGCAACCCUCUAAGAGUAACUUGCCCUUCUUUUUAGACACACUUUUUAUUCAGCAGCACUUUUUCUUUAUUCUUGCCUGAAAAAGUCAGCAACCUUUUUACGCGAAGGUGCAUAUUGGUAAUACCCACCCCCGGUUACUCAGUUAGUCACUUGUUCAAGUGGCUACUAGCUCUGUUCAUAGCUCAUUUGACCAUUGGAACAGGUUUAUGAUUUGUGCUUUGUGCUGGUUUUUCUUUUUCUUUUCUUUUCAUAACAGUUUGGGCAAAUCAGCUCAUAGGGAGUUACACUAACUUUUUAUUUGCAUGUAUUUAUAUUUUUAUUUUCCUUGACCACAACAAAUUUAAGGAUUCAAUUCAAGAAAAGAACUUUCAAAGUGAAGGUAGCACACUGUAAUUGAUUCAAUUUAGGCUUAAAGGGGUGAAAAAUCAAUGGGGUCAUGAGAUAAGAAGCUCUUUUAACCUUGUUAUCUAUGCUGAGUAGAGCAAUAGCUAAGACAAAAUUCUGUGUGUGUGUGCAGAAAGUGAAAAAUGUGUGCAAAGGAAAAAUGUGUGAAAAGAAAAAAAUUUGUGUGUGUGUUAGGGGAGGGAAAAAAAUGCGAAAAGAAAGCAAAAGAUAGUGUAAUUAAUGCAAGAAUAACCUAACAGUACCCCCACACCUAUUGCAAACAUUGUCCUCAAUGUGUAAACAUAUAUAAAAAUUAAGAAGGAAAGGGAAAGGGACUUCCUGGCCUGUGGGUGAUUUGGUUAGUGAUUUGGGCAAAUCACUCGGCCAAAUCACUGUCUGGCAUGGUCUGUGGGCAGGAAGUGGUCCACCAGCAGUUGCAGCAAGUGCUCCAUAUGCUGCAUUCUAUCCUCAAUUCUGUUGAGACGAGCCUCGAUUGUCUGGUUUGGGGCUAUGUCUUCAGUGGCCUGGUUUGCUUCCUGCUGGGGUGCCACUGGAGGUGGUUCAUCUACUGGGGGUGCCUGUUCUGUUUCCCCUGCUGUCCCAUCUGCUGGGGCAGGGUGUUGGUAUACUAGGGUAAGGGUGGCCUUCUUCUUCCUAAAUACAUGCUCAUGGCGUGGUGUUAGAGGCUCUGCAGGUGAAAGAGAAAAAAUGUUCCCCACUUUGCAAAGAAACUCCAUAUCAUCUAAAGAUCGAAGGUCCAAGGGGGUUGGAUUGUUAGUGGGGUGAGGUCAGUGUGGUCUGGGUGCAAUGAUUUCAGGUUCACUGCAAUGGUAGUGAUCAAAUGGCCCAAAAUCAGGGGUCUGUGGUACUGGAUGAUGUUGGAGAUUUGUGUAGCUACCCAAUAUCCAAAGUGGAUUUUCUGGUGUUUGUGCAUGCACCACAGAAUGUAAAGCUCUGUUCUGGUCAGGAUGUUGGGUGCAUCCUUCCUCCUAGAAAAUGUGUAGGCCAAAAACCUAUGAAUGUAUUUUAGGCUGGGAUUUUUCAGGUACAGGUCUUUGGACCUGGUGGGCGAGUAAGAAUCAGGGGGGUUAUCACACAACUCCAAAUAGGCAUUGAUGUGAUUGAAUUCAGCAGAAAAAUCCCAGGUGGAGUCAGGGCAUUCACAGCCCAUGGCAGUGCCAAACUCCUGCAGGGACAAGCGAAAUCGCUGUCCCAAUAACCUGAACCCAAUAACAUCUGGUGUGUGCAGGUUGUGCAUGGUUGGUCUAUCAAAGUAGAAAGUGGUGAAGAACUCAUGUGUGAGCUCAAUGAAGGAUGGAAAAUGAAGGAAGAAGAAUUUGUCCCAACUAAUUGCAGAGAUUAGGGAACGUACCUGGUCUUGGAGUCUCAGUGCUUCAAGAGUGCCAUGGUGUAUGUACUUACCUGGAUGGUACGGCAGGGAAGAGACUUUAUCUAGCCUGGUUCGUUCAGAUGCCUUGUUGAAUGUCAUGGUCUAAGUGAUGUGAUCUGGGUGGGUUGGUUUGGGCAAAUCGCUGGGCAAUUCGCCUUCUUUGUGGCCUGCGGGAGGCAUGUCCAUGGGUGUCUCUGGUUGUCAUUCUGGGCUCGGCGGUGGUGGUGGUGAAGGUGUUCUCGGCCGUUUCUGCCCAUGGCCAGUUGAAGUGGUGGCUUCUGGAGGCGUUUCGCCUUCAGGGGUUCCCAUCGCGUCUGUUGGAGAGGAAGGUGGUGCUUCAAUCAUCGUCGCCUUGUUUCGCUGGCGAUAGGUCUGGACAUCUGGUGAGUCGAAGUGCCUGGUCUCUGUACCUUCGGCUGUUCCUGUGUCGGCGUCGUUGGGAACGGGUGGAGGGUUUUCCAUUGCCUCUUCGUCACUGUCGGUGGGAAUGCGUAUCGGUCCGGGCAUCCCGCGCCUCCUCCACAUCUCGGGGCCACUGGUAACCAUCAUCUUGGUUCUGGCCAUGGUGUCUGAUGUCGCCGGUGAUAGUAGUUUCUUGGAGAAGAAGAAAAAGAUGAAACAGAAAGAGAUAGCGUGAGGGAAAAGGAAAUAAUAAAAAAUUAUUUAAAGUGAUUUGGGGUAGUUGAACUGCCCUGAUCAUUAAAUACUGAGUCUCUGGCUUCUUGACAUGGUGAUUUGGUCAGUGAUUUGGGCAAAUCACUUGGCCAAAUCACCUUCUUCAUUGCAGUUGCUUGGUUGGUACUGUUCACGCCCUUUGCUGUUGAUGGGCUGAGCUGUCGAUUUGGCCUGGUGAUUUGGGCAAAUCACUUCUUCGGUGCAAUGGCCUUGUUGAUCUUGUUCUUUCGAGAUGAACCCUGUCGAUUUGGCCUGUCGAUUUGGGCUCAUCACCUGCCCCAAUUACUUAUGACUAUGGUACAUUCAGCCAAUUUGCCCCAGUGAUUUGGGCAGAUCGCUUCAGCUGGGUUGCCUCCCAGUAGCGUCCUGUUUUCUGUCUUGGGCUGGACUGCCUUAUCUUGAUCAGCAGGCUGGGGAAGGGGGAUCCAAGGGAACCUCCUCCACAAGGUGAACAGUAAACCCUUCAUAAAAUUGCUUCAAACGGUGCCCAUUGACCUUGAAAAUUUUGCUAGUUUGUGGAUUGCGAAUGUCCACAGCUCCAUGUGGAUAGAUGUGCUCCACCAAAAAUGGCCCAAUCCACCUAGACCGAAGCUUCCUAGGGAAUAAUUUGAACCUUGAAUCAAAAAGCAAAACUUUAUCACCAACCUGGAAGUAUUUUAUGGAGAUAUUUUUGUCAUGGAAGGCUUUGGUCUUUGCUUUGUAAUCCCAUGAAGCUUCAUAUGCAUCACGCCGGAUCUCCUCUAGCUCUUGAAGUUGUAAUUUUCUAUUGGUUCCAGCUUCUUUUUCAUCAAGAUUACACUUUUUGACAGCCCAAUAGGCUUUGUGUUCAAGUUCUACGGGUAGAUGGCAAGCUUUCCCAUAAAUCAGCCUAUAUGGAGACAUUCCAAUUGGAGUUUUAUAUGCUGUUCUAUAUGCCCAUAAGGCAUCAUUGAGGUGCACACUCCAGUCCUUGCGAUUUAGGCAUACUGUUUUCUCCAAAAUUGACUUAAUCUCCCUAUUUGACACUUCGGCCAGCCCAUUUGUUUAAGGAUGAUAGGCAGUAGAGGUUCUAUGGAUGACGUGGUGCUUCUUAAGGAGAGUUUCUACUACCUUGUUGUAAAAAUGGGUGCUACGGUCACUGAUAAUGGCUUUGGGCAGACCGAAUCUUGAGAAUAUGUGGGAUUUCACGAAGUCACAAACUAUUUUUGCAUCAUCAGCCCUUGUUGCCUUUGCCUCAAUCCACUUGGACACAUAGUCCACUGCCAGCAGUAUGUAGGUGCUGCCAAAGGAAGGUGGAAAGGGCCCCAUGAAGUCAAUGCCCCAAAUAUCAAAUAUUUCACACACCAUAAUGGGUGCUUGUGGCAUUUCACUUCGGGUGCCAAGGUUUCCCGUUUGUUGGCAUCUUGCACAUGACCUACAAAAUAAAUAAGAAUCUCUAAAUAUAUUAGGCCAAAAUAACCCACAUUUAAGUAUUUUCAAGGCUGUCUUGCGUGGGCCAAAAUGUCCUCCACAGCCAUAUGAGUGGCAGAAGGCUAGGACAUAAUGUAUUUCUUGAUUUGGUAUGCAUGUCCUUAUGACUUGGCCUGCACAAUGCUUCCAUAGGUAAGGCUCAUUCCACACAUAAUAUCUUGCAUCUUUUUUUUUAUCUUAUUUCUCAUGUGUUGGGGCAAAUCAGUAGGUAAAUCACCUGUGGCAAGGUAAUUUACUAUAUCAGCAUACCAUGGUUCCUCUUCUUGAACAACAAAGAGGUGCUCAUCAAGGAAAUUUUCGUUGAUGGGGUAGGUCUCCAUCUCGGUCAGUAUUCUGCUGAGGUGAUCAGCUACAAGGUGCUCUUUUCCCUUUUUAUCACGAAUCUCCAGGUCAAACUCUUGCAUGAGCAAUAUCCAUCGCACCAGCCUUGGUUUGGACUCCUUUUUCUUGAUUAAAUAUCUUAAUGCAUCAUGGUCUGAAUAAAUAAUCACCUUUGUCCCAAGUAGAUAGGAUCAAAAUUUCUCCAAUGCAAACACAACAGCUAGCAACUCUUUUUCUGUGGUAGAAUAAUUGCAUUGUGCAGCAUUUAGGGUGCAUGAGGCAUAAUGAAUGACAUGAGGAGAAUUACCUUUGCGUUGUCCCAAUACUGCACCUACAGCAAAGUUGCUGGCGUCACACAUGAUCUCAAAUGGAAGGGUCCAAUCAGGUGGCUGGAUGAUUGGGGCAGUGAUCAGCAGUGAUUUGACCAAAUCAAAAGCUAUUUUGCAGUUUUUAUCAAAGCUGAAUUGCACGUCCUGCUGUAAUAACCUGCACAAAGGCUGAGUUAUUUUGGAAAAAUCUUUGAUGAACCUUCUGUAAAAUCCAGCAUGGCCAAGGAACGAUCUAAUCUCCCGAAUGCUGGCUGGAUAGGGCAAGCUUUUGAUGGUGUCCACUUUGGCCUUGUCCACCUCUAUCCCUUUUGCUGAAACAAUAUGGCCCAAGAUUAAGCCAUGGCUGACCAUGAAGUGGCACUUCUCGUAGUUGAGAACUAGAUUUGUCUCCAAGCAUCUUUGAAGUAUCUUCUUCAAGUUGGCUAGGCAUUCAUUGAAUGAGUUGCCAUAUACCGUGAAAUCGUCCAUGAAGACUUCAAUAAUCUUCUCCACAUAGUCAGAAAAAAUACUCAUCAUGCACCUUUGGAAAGUGGCUGGUGCAUUGCAAAGACCGAAGGGCAUCCUUCUAAAUGCGAAGGUGCCAAAUGGACAUGUGAAGGUGGUCUUUUCUUGGUCUUCAGGUGCAACGGAAAUUUGGUAGAAUCCCGAAUAUCCAUCAAGGCAGCAGUAAUGGCUUUUUUCAGCAAGUCUCUCAAGCAUUUGGUCCAUGAAGGGCAAGGAAAAAUGGUCCUUCCUUGUGUCUGUGUUGAGCUUCCUGUAAUCCAUGCACACUCUCCACCCAUUUUGCACACGAGUGGGUACUAGCUCUCCUUCAGAAUUGGGGACAAUAGCAAUCCCAGUCUUCUUUGGUACUACGUGGAUAGGACUCACCCACUUGCUAUCAGAGAUGGGGUAGAUGACUCCGGUAUCUAAGAGCUUCACUAUUUCUUUCUUCACAACCUCCAUCAUCGGUGGAUUUAGCCUUCUUUGGGCCUCACAGACAGGUUUGCAUUCAUCCUCCAUGAGUAUCCGAUGCAUGCAUGUUGAGGGUGAGAUGCCUUUGAUGUCCUCUAAGGUCCACCCAAUUGCUUUCUUGUGUUUCCUCAAUAUCUCUAGGAGUUUUUCCUCUUCUUGCUGGUUGAGUUGAUUGGAUACUAUGACUGGAAGUGUAUUUCCAGCCCCCAAGUAGGCAUAUUUAAGGUGCCUUGGCAGAGGUUUCAGAGUUGGUGCAGUUGCUAUCUGGUCUGAUGCUUGCUGUCUGUCCACUGAUUUGGGCAAAUUGCCUGGCGCUGGGUCUGGUGAUCUGGGCAGAUCACCUUCUGUCCUGUCUGUCUGUUCCAGCGAUUUGGGCAAGUCAGAAUCUGCCUGUACUGGUGAUUUUGGUAGAUCACCCGCAACCAGCUGGGAACAGUGUGCUGUCUUCACUGCUUCUGUCUUGGUGCUGCUGUCCACUUCUCCUUGCCUGCAAAAAUCAUCAUAAAGUAAAUUUUCUUGAUCAAAAUAAAAAAUUUCUUGACUUAAAUCAUCAAUAACAACAAGGCUAUAAAUAGGAGAAACAUCAUUGGGGAAUUUCAUGGCAUCAUAAACAUUAAACUUGAUAACUCCAUGGUUAAUGUGCCAUCAUGCACAUCAAUUUUUAUUCUGGUUGUACUCAAGAAUGGUCUCCCAAGUAGGAUGUCAGAGAGGUAUUGCUUUUAUCUUCCUCCAUGUCAAUGACAUAGAAAUCAGCUGGGAAGACUAGUUGGUCCACUUGCACCAACACAUCUUCAAGCACUCCCUUCGGAUAGACAACAGAUCGGUCAGUCAAUUGGAUUACUAUGCUGGUACCUUUGAGUGUACCUGCAUUCAAUAAGUUAAAAAUAGAAAGGGGCAUGACAUUGAUUGAAGCCCCAAGGUCACACAUGGCAUUCUUUAUCCCCACGUUGCCUAUUUUGCAUGAAACUGCGAACAUCCCUCUAUCUUUGCAUUUGACUGGAAGCUUUCUUUGAAUGACAGCUGAGACACAAUCCCCCACACUUACCUUUUCACGUUCAGCAAGUUUCCUUCUAUUGGUGCAUAGCUCUUUGAGAAAUUUGGCAUACCUUGGUAUUUGUUUGACAGCAUCAAGUAGAGGUAUGUUGAUUUCCAAAUUGCGAAGUGUCUCAAGUAUUUCUUUUUCCUCUUUUUCUUUUUGAGACCUUGCAAAUCUUUUGGGAAAGGGGGGAGGUACCUUAAAUUUCUCCACUGGUUGCUGGUCUGACUUCUGCCUGUUACUGGAUUCUACCUGGUCUGUUGAUUUGGGCAAAUCAACUUCUGCCUUCUCUGGUGAUUUGGGCACAUCACUACUGCUGGGCAGCUCAGUCUACCUAGCGAUUGGGUUAGUGAUUUGGGCAGAUCGACUGCCCCGAUCACUUUCUAGCAGAUUCUCCUCAGCAAUCUGUUUUUGCUUUUGCUCAGCCCUACUGUCUUGCAGCUCUUUUCCACUCCUCAAUGUGAUAGCUCUAGCAUUCUGCCUCGGGUUUAUCUAAGUUUGGGAGGGCAGUUUUCCUUGUGAUUCAAGGUUGCUUAAGGAUGAAGCCAUUUGUCCCAUUUGUUGCUCAAGAUUCUGCACAGUGUUUGUUAGGGUCUUCACAAUCUCUUCAAGGGGUGCAUUGGACUUUUGAGGUGCUGGAUUUCUUUACUGGUAAUUUGGAUAUUGAUUGGCCCUUGCAUAACUGAAGUUCGGAUGGUCCCUCCAACCUGGAUUAUAGGUGUUAGAAUAGGGAUCAUACCUUCUUUGCCCAUUGAAACCUCCAACUGCAUUGACUUGCUGGUCUUCUUCUUGAAGGGAAGGACAUAGAUCAGUUGGGUGGUUUGUAUUUGCACAUAUUCCACAUGGCUUGGGCUGCUGAAGCUGCUGGGCUUGUUGGGCUUGACCCACAACAAGGCUACGGACAUCAUUGGUUAGAUCAGAGAUUUGGAAUGCCAAAAUUGAUGUACUCACCUCAUUUACCAUUCUUGGUGGCUGUUCUUGGUUUCCAAAUUGCUGAGAAGCUGCAGCCAUGGUGGAAAUUAAAUUCCUCAUCUCACGAGGUGAUUUGUCUUCAAUUGACCCCCCACAAGCUGCAUCAAUAAAUUUUCUCUCUGAGGGCAGCAGACCUCCAUAGAAGUAUUCAAUGAGGGAUUGGUCAGAAAUAUCAUGUUGUGGGUAGCUUGUGCAUAACCUUUUGAACCUUUCCCAGUAUUCGUACAAGCCUUCAGAGUAUUUUUGCCUUAUACCACUUAUUUCUCGGCAGAUGCCUAUGGCUUUUGAGGUUGGAAAGAAUUUUCUCAAGAAUGCUCUCACCAUACCAGCCCAUGAUGUGAUGGAUCCGGGUGGCAAGUAAAAUAGCCAUUCCUUGGCAUAGUCGUCAAGGGAAAAAGGGAAGGCUCUAAGUUUAACAUGCUCUUCUGAAAUACCUUGAGGUCUCAUGGUGGAGCACACAAUAUGGAAUUCCUUUAAAUGCUUGUGAGGAUCUUCAUUUUCUAGGCCUCUGAAUUUGGGAAGGAGAUGGAUCAGGCCUAUCUUUAAUUCGAAAGGUGCUGUCAAUGGGGGAUAUGCAAUGCACAAGGGCGCUUGGUCUCCUGCCGGUUCAGCUAGUUCUCGGAGUGUUCUCUCCCGUGGCUGUGGUGCCUGGAUAGGCAUGUUUCCAGCUUGAAUUUCAGCUUCUUCACGUGCAACAGGGGGUUCUGCCAUUACUGGAUUUUCUGCAGCAACUCGGAAGUCUGUUUCUAGUGCAAAUUCAGCAGUGGGUGAAUCUAUUGGUGCAGAAAAUUCUGCAGCAGGGGCAGUAGCAGAUCUGUGAGAUGGUGUUGCUGAUGAAGAUGGUCUUGAGGCUUGGUUCCUCAAAUUUGCUUGCUUUCUUAAGCUCUUGGCGAUGCAUUCUAUCUUUGGAUCGUAAAGAAGAGUGUCUUUACGGCCAGACCUAGUCAUAAAGGGAAAAAUACGUUAGUUUAAAUCAAAUCCCCGGCAACGGCGCCAAUUUUUGAUAGCGGUUGUCGAAGCCGUCAAAAAUAAACCUAUUAUCAACCAACAAAAUAAUUUUGCAGAUAGUGGCAAUAGGGUCGAACCACAGGGAUUUGACACUACGAAUUUUCCUAUUAAUGACUUGGACAAGUAAAUAAUAAAUAAUUAAAAGAGGGGGUUUUGAUUUGAUGAGUUAAUAUUAAAGAGAAAUCAAUAAUUUAAAAGGAUAAGAAUUUCAAUGGGAAAAGGAUUCUAGUUGAAGCAUGGAUGAAUUCCAGGUUGUUUAGAAUUGAUCAUUGACUUUUUGUUACUCUUAUUUAUUUCAAUAAGUUAGUUUAGGACGUGGAAGACACUUCUCACAAUCCAAAUUCCUCCUUAGUUUUAGUUUGAUUAGGAAACGUUCGCUAAUCAAACUCUAGUUAACAAGUUGCCAAGGAACGUCCUUGGGGCUUUUAGCAUCGAACAACUGUUAACUGCAUUAGGACUUAGAAAAACCCAACUUUAACCUUGCCAACCGCGUGGUCAAGUUAGAUUAUGCAACUGAUUAUACUUGUUGACUUGCGGUUGUCGAAACCGGUCAAAAAUAACCUUUCUGGUUAUCAAUAAUUUACAACUGCAGAUAGUGGUGAAAGGAUCGAAUCCACAAGGAAUUGAGAACUCACCUAUUUCUCUUUUUAUGACUAAGAAAAUAAACUGGAACAAUAAUAAACUAAAAAUGAGAUAAAAAACUGAAAGUGGGAUUAAAUGAGAUAAAUUGGGAUAAAAAACUAUCAACAAAAUAACAGGGGGGGUUUGAGAUUGAUUGUAGUAACUAAUAAUGAGAAUAAUAAUAGAAAGCAAAUAAUAAAAUAAAGAGUAAUCAAUAAUGAGAAAGUUCUAGUUGAAGUAUUGAAUCCACUUUAGUUGUUGGGAUUGAUCACAGACACUUUGUUCUUUUGGGUUGAUUCAAUAGAUUAGUUAUGGAGAUGGAAGACGCUUCUCACCACCAUUAUCUCUCCUUAUGAUUAAACCAAUUAGGGAACGUCCUCUAAUUAAUUACUAAUUAACAAAUUGCCAAGGAACGUCCUUGGGUCUCAGACAUUAAAACAAUUGUCAAUUGCAUUAAGAAAUAGAGAGAUCCAAUCCUAACUACCCAAACGUAUGGAGAUAACGCUAGAUCAUACAAUUUCCUUGGGUUUUAUCCCAAGUGUUCUCAUGUAAGAAUAAUCUAAGCAAUUACGGACUUAAAUUAUUCAAACUAACAAAUAAUUAUUUUGCAAUCAAAAAUCAACGUAGAUCUCAAUAAUAAAAUAAUAUGAAAAUUAAAUAUGAAAUUGCAUGAAUAUUGAAUUCCCAAAAAUUAAACAAUAUUUGAUCAAGUCUCACAACCCAUUAAUCAACUAAAGCUUCAACCAAUAUUCAACUAGAUUAAAGAAAUCAGCCACUCAUUGGCUGAAUCAAAAACAGAAAAAUAAAAAGGGAAAAGAAAGAACCGAAGGAGCUGAUUUCUUCUGCGCAGAGGCUUGCGGAAAUUUCCGAGAGGAGAAAUUGUAAUUCUGUGCUCCUGUCUUCUGGCCGCUUAAAGCUCUUUAAAUAGAGCUGGAGAGACGCCCUAAUUGGGAAAUUGCGGUCCACGUGAAGAGCUUUGAAGUGGGCCCAUGUGUCCAAGUGCGUUGCGUGAGUUGAUGAGGAGCUUUGGUCCAUUUGGGCGUGAAUUGAGCUUGGUGGGUCCAUGGUCCACGUGAAGUGAUGAAGUGCGGGAGUGAGCUUGUCCAUGUGCGGUCCACGGUGAAGUGAUGAAGUGCAGUGGCCCAUUUGCGUGAAGUGAGAAUGGUCAUGAGUGCAAGGUGGAGGUGCGGGCCAUGGUUCCACGUGAACGUGCGGAAGCUUGCCUUGGUGGGCCUGUGUGCGUGUGGCGAAGGCGGGUCCAUGGUGCAAGGUCGUGCGGGCCAUUUGCACAUGAAUUGAGCUUGCGGAAAUAGGCCGUCCAAUUGCUUCAAUAUUUAAGCUUCAAAAUAUCUUCCUCGUUUAGCUUGACUUGAAUCCAACUUGGCAGGCUUGCUUUCUUUGGCUCUAAAUAAGGCAGUUUUAGGGGGAUUUUCUCCAAAAUGUCCUUUUACACCAUUUUCUGCAAAAUAAUAUUAAAAGCACUAAAUUAAGCAGAAAUCAUGUAAAUAUUUAUUAAUAAUAUUAAUAUAAAAUGGACUAAAUUAUGCUCUAUCACUUGUGAUUAAAUAACUUAAGCAAUUACGGACCUAAAUUAUUUAAACAAUAUACUACUCAAGCAAUUAAAAGCAACAGGCCUUAAUUGAUUCUAAAAGCAAAGCAAUAAUUAUAAAAAGAUCAAGUUGCAUAAAUAUUGAAAAUAAACAAGAGUUUGAUCAUGGAGUAUUAAAUCUCCCAAUUCAUCACAAAUCUGGAAUUUCCAAUUUCAACUAGAAAAGAGUUGGUUAGCUACUCAUGGUGGACAAAAUCACAAAAAGAAGAAAGAAAGAAGAGGAGAGAGAGGCUGCUGUGUUUUCUGCAGAAUUCCCGAAGGUGCUGAGUAGAGAGGAUGAUCUGCUGGGUUGGAAGUUAUCCUUUUUAUAGCUGGAGAAUUUUUAUCCAACUAGGGUUUGGAAAUCCCCAUCUUUAUAAUACCCGGCUCGAGUCCGGCCUCGGAAUUCCUGUAGUCUGGUGGAAUCUCGGGUGUCGGAACCCUCGAGAAGGGUACAAUCUUGACUUGGUCUUUUGUGGUCUUUGAUUCCUCCUUGGAUCUUGUAUUUAAUUGUGAAUGGAUUUCCUCAAGUGAAAAGACCUCCUCGUGGCUUAAGGGACUGAUCUUGGAGUGUUUGAAAUGGAUUUGGACUUCUUUGCUUUUGAAUUUCAGUUUUCUGCACUUUUCCCGCUUCUGCUGUUUCUCUGCGUUAAUGUGAUUUGGGCGGGUGAUUUGGGCAGAUCACUUGCCCAAAUCGUUUAUGUGUGUUGCCUCCAGAUUUCUGCCUUAGCUUUCUGCUUCUGAUUUCUACGGGUGAUUUGGCCAAAUCACUUUGACCCAAUCACUUUUUCAGCUUUUUCUACACUUUUUCUCAAACUUUCCAUUUUCUUUUUUUUUUUCUACAAAAACAUAACAAAAACAUAAAUUAAGCUAGAAAAAUGUGUAAUUAAACAGUAAUAAAUAUAAUAAAAAUGUGGCUAAAUUAAGCUUGAUCAAUUGGAAAUAUUAAAGUUCAAAGGAAACUGAGUACUCUUCUGGUGUGGUUUGUGUGGUGCGAAACACUAAGCAGACUGAGAAGGAUGAUGCAGUGGAACUUCUUCCACAACUUGCACUAUGAACCCUUCAAUAGUAUGGUUUCAGAUAUGGUUCAUCACAAACAUCGUGUCUUGCAUUCUUCUUUAUUUUGUCUUUAUACCAUGGUUCAUCAGUUUGGGCAUGGAACAUUUGUUCAUAGAAGCCACUUUCUUCAGAUUUUGGAAGUUGCUGCAUGGGGGCUUCUGAUUGGGAAGAUAAGUGUCUGUUUGCGUUGGGAGGUUGGCUGAGCUGGGUUUCGCAUGCUUCAUUGAUGUGGGCGAUUUGACUUCAGCUUUCUAAAGUGGGUCGCAGUUCAUCUGCUGAAUGUAGCAGGCUGAUGCUUUCAGUUUUGACUCUUUUUGGCUAGCCUCCCUGCAAAAGUCAUUGUUUAGCAUAUCAUCUUGAUUCAUAUCAAAAACUUCUUGGCUCAAACAAUCAAUGAUAUCUAAACCAUAAAUAGGGGACAUGUCAUGGGGAUAUUUCAUAGCAUCAUAAACAUUAAAUUUUAUUACUUUCCCUUCAAAUUCUAUGGUCAAUGUGUCAUCAUGCACAUCUAUCUUAGUUCUGACUGUGCUCAAGAAAGGUCGUCCUAGUAGGAUGUCCGAAGUAGUGUUGCCAUUGUCUUCCUCCAUAUCAAUCACAUAGAAAUCUGCUGGAAAGACAAGUUGAUCUACUUGUACUAGAAUAUCUUCUAGAACUCCUUUUGGAUAUACUACAGAUCUGUCAGCUAAUUGAAUCACUACUCUAGUGUCUUUCAGUGCACCUGCAUUCAAGGAAUUAUAAAUAGAGAGAGGCAUAACAUUAAUUGAUGCACCUAAAUCACACAUGGCCUUUUUGAUGCCCACAUUGGUAAUUUUACAAGAAACAACAAACAUCCCUUUAUCUUGACACUUGGCUGGCAGUUCUCUUUUUAUGACAGGUGUCACAACUUCACCUACACUUACCUUUUCUUUCUCAGCAAGCUUCCUUCUGUUAGUGCACAGUUCUUUCAGAAAUUUUGCAUACCUGGGAAUUUGUUUCACAGCAUCUAACAGAGGUAUGUUGAUCUCCACUUUCCUGAAGGUCUCAAGGAUCUCUUUUCUUCUUUUUCUUUUUGUGACUUCUCAAAUCUUUUUGGAAAAGGUGGUGGAAUCUUGAAACUUACUUACUGAUUUGUAUUUUGCUGGUGUAUUGGUGCGGUUUGCCCAAUCGGUUUGGACAAACAGUUUUCUGGCUGCUUCUCUACAGCAGCUUGUCUUUGCACUUGUGAACUUCCUUCAUUAGCCUUGGCAUCCUAGAGCUCUUUCCCACUUCUUAAUAUGAUAGCACUUACAUUUUUCCUGUAAUUAGCUUCAGUUUGGGAAGGUAGCUUACCUUGAGAUUCAAGCUUGCUUAUUGAGGUGGCUAUUUGUCCCAUCUGCUGUUGGAGACUUUGUAUAGAAUUUGCCAAUGACUUCACUACCUCCUUAAGGUGCAUAUUGGAGCUUGGAGGUGCUGCUUGGGCUUGAUUUCUUUGAUAGUUCUGGUAUUUGUUAGCCCUAACAUAGCCGAAGUUCGGAUGGUCUCUCUAACCUGGAUUGUAUGUGUUAGAGUAUGGAUCAUGUCUAGGCUGGCUAUUGAAUCCUCCAAUGGCAUUCACUUGCUGUUCAUCCUCUUGAAGUGUAGGACAUUGAUCAGUUGGGUGUCCUACAUGUGCACAUAUCCCAUAUAGUCUAGCUGGCGGAACUUGUUGAGCUUGACCUAUGACAAGACUUUUCACAGUAGAGGUUAGUUCAAAAAUUUAAGAAGCGAGAACAGAUGUACUUACCUCAUUGACUCAUCUUUGCAGUUCCUUUUCAUCUCCAUAUUGUUUAGAUGCUACUGUAAGUGUUGAAAUCAACUCUUUGAUUGCUUGAGGUGUGCUAUCUUCAAUUGAACCUCCACAUGCUAUAUCAAUGAAAUUCCUUUCGGAUGAUAGCAAACUUCCAUAGAAGAAUUCUAUGAGUGAUUUAUCUGAAAUAUCAUGUUGAGGACAGCUUGUGCACAAUCUCUUAAAUCUUUCCCAAUAAUCAUACAAAUCUUCAGUUUCUUUUUGCUUAAUACCACUUAUCUCUCUUCUUAUGCCUAUGGUUUUAGAAGUUGGGAAAUAUUUAUUCAUAAAAACUCUUACCAUACCAUCCCAAGAAGUGAUUGAACCAGGUGGUAGGUAGAAUAACAAAUCUUUGGCAUAAUCAUCAAGUGAGAAUGGGAAUGCUCUCAAUUUUACAUGCUCUUCAGUUAUGCCUUGCAACCUCAUGGAUGAGCAUACAAUGUGAAAUUCUUUCAAGUGCUUAUGUGGAUUUUCAUUCUCCAAACCUCUAAAUUUAGGUAGUAGAUGUAUCAAACCUAUUCUGAGCUCAAAAAGGACUGUCAGAGGUGGAUAGGUGAUGCAGAGAGAUGUUUGAUCGCCUAUAGGGGUUGCCAACUCUCUCAGUGUUCUUUCUCUUGGCAUUGGUGGCCUCAUUGCUGGAUUUUCUGGUAUUAAUUCAUCAUGGACAGCAGGUUCAGCAUGGGCAGCAGGUUGUGCAUUGUUUUCAGUAAUCUCUGUGGCUGUUUGGUCAAGUUCAGAAGGUGUUGCUUCAGUUUCUGCGAUGGCAGGUUUCUCUGUGGCAGAUUCGGUGAUGGCUUGCUUCCAAAGUGUGGCGACUUGCUUCCCAAGUCGCUUGAUUGUAUGCUCAAUUUCUGGAUCGUAAGGCAGAGUUUCCUUGUGUCCAGAUAUGAUCAUGAAAGAAAAAUAAAUUACUUAAAUCAACUCCGUGGCAACGACGCCAAUUUUUUACUGUGCAGUUGUUAAAGUCGAUAAAAAAUAACCUUUUUGGUUAUCAACAAUUUUACAACUGUAGAUAGUGGCAAAAGGAUCGAAUCCACAGGGAAUUGAUACUUACCUAUUUCUUUUAUCAAGACCAAGUAAACAAACUGAAAGUAAAUAAAUUGAAAGAAAAAUAAAAGGGGGGGGUUUGAGAUUGAUUCAAUUAAACUAAUAAUGAAAGCAAUAAAGUAAAGCGAAUAAUUAAAGUAAAGGAAUUCAAAUAUGAGAAAAGCUCUAGUUGAAGAAUUGGAUCCACUUUAGUUGUUAGGAUUGAUCAUUGAUGCUUAGAUUCCUUUGUUUGAUUCAAUAAAUUAGUUAUGGAGAUGGAAGACGCUUCCCACCACCAUAUCCCUCCUUAAGCAUAAAUCAAUUAGGGAACGUCCUCUAACUAAUCACUAAUCAACAAGUUGCCAAGGAACGUCCUUGGGCCUUUGGCAUCUAACAACUGUCAAUUGCAUUAAGAAAUAGAGAGACCUAAUUCUAGCUACCCAAACGCAUGGUGAUAUUGCUAGAUCAUGCAAUUUCCUUAGUUUUUACACCAAGAGUUACUUAUGUUUGAAUAAUCCAAGCAAUUACGGACUUAAAACUAUCCAAACUAACAAAUUAUUACCUUGCAAUCAAGAAUCAAUUGGCCUUAUUGAUCUAAAUAACAAAGCAACAAUGGAAUUAAGCAUGAAAUUGCAUAAAUAUUGAAAACCAAAAGAUAAACAAUGUAUGUUCAGAUCUCCCAAUCCAUAAAACAACCAAAGUUUCACCUAAUCUUCAACUAGAAAAAAAGAGUUUCAGCCACUCAUGGCUGAAACAAAUCUCAAAAAUAAAGGAAGAAAGAAGAAGAGAUGGUGGCCAACGGUCUUAGAGUGAAUGUACGCCGAAUCUGAAGGGAAGUGUGAUGGAUGGGGCGUGCGGCUUGGCUUGUAUUUAUAGCCUUUAUGUGCUGCCCAAGUUUGCUGCCCAAUGCUUAGCUUGCUGCCCAAGUUGCAUUGAUGAGGUGGAGCCUUCUUUUGAAUUUUGAAUUUUGAAUGUGUAUCUCCUUGAGAUUUGGCUUCUUGAAUAAGCUGAAUUUUGAAUUUUGAAUGCUCUUGAAGAUUUGAAAUUUGAAUUUCAAAUUACUUUCCUUACUUAUCUCCUCUUAAGUUGCAACUUGGCAUGCUUGUUCUCCUUUGUUCCAUUUUAGGCAGUUUUAAGGGCAUUCUCUCCAAAUUACCUCUUUACACCAUUUUCUGCAAAAUAAGAUCAAAACCACAAAAUUAGACAGAA
Molecule: long non-coding RNA, 18702 nt
Filed under: Manihot esculenta (cassava)
Lineage: Eukaryota; Viridiplantae; Streptophyta; Magnoliopsida; Malpighiales; Euphorbiaceae
Description: long non-coding RNA (MESC_LNC007408)
Source: RNAcentral